GCCAAUCAAACUGAGAGAUAGCUCGUUCUCCCCGAAAUGUUUUUAGGAACAGCCUCGGAUUUUAGAAGUGUACUAGAGGUAGAGCUACUGAUUGGGCUAGGGGGCUUCACCGCCUACCAAACCCUGACAAACUCCGAAUGCUAGUACAUAUCUCCGGGAGUGAGGCUGUGGGCGCUAAGGUCCAUGGCCGAGAGGGAAAUAACCCAGAAUAGCAGCUAAGGUCCCCAAUACAUGGUUAAGUUAGACAAACGAUGUGAAAUUUCUAUAACAGCCAGGAUGUUUGCUUGGAAGCAGCAAUUCAUUUAAAGAGUGCGUAACAGCUCACUGGUCGAGAGAUUCUGCGCGGAAAAUAAUCGGGUAUUAAACCAUGAACCGAAGCUCUAUGAUCGCCCUUAGAGGGAUGAUCGGUAGGGGAGCAUUCUAAUGGCAUCGAAGGUGUGCGGCGACGCAUGCUGGAGCGAUUAGAAAAGAAAAUGUAGGCAUAAGUAACGAUAAAUAAGGUGAAAAACCUUAUCGCCGAAAGUCUAAGGGUUCCUGAUCAACGUUAAUCGGAUCAGGGUUAGCCCGGUCCUUAGUCAAACCCGAAAGGGGUAGACGAUGGAAAGCAGGUUAAUAUUCCUGCGCCUGCUAUACAAUGAAAGUGACGGAGCAUGUUAGCUGCCUAGUCUGACGGAUUAGACGAGUGGAACCUUCGGGUGAAGCGUAGCAGUGAGAGUGCUUCCAAGAAAAGCGAGUAUAGCAGCCGGUACCGCAAACCGACACAGGUAGACGGGAUGAGUAUUCUAAGGCGCUCGGGUGAGCCGUGGAGAAGGAACUAGGCAAAUUGACGCUGUAACUUCGGGAUAAAGCGUACCACAGCGAUGUGGUCUCAGUAAAAUGGUUCAACCAACUGUUUAACAAAAACAUAGGGCCCUGCAAAAUCGAAAGAUGACGUAUA
This 937-nucleotide ribosomal RNA is filed under the name Niabella sp. RNAcentral's name for it is "partial 23S ribosomal RNA". It matches the Rfam family "Bacterial large subunit ribosomal RNA", at positions 828 to 1847 of the family's 2925-position model. The record is from RNAcentral. Lineage: Bacteria; Pseudomonadati; Bacteroidota; Chitinophagia; Chitinophagales; Chitinophagaceae.